This 429-nucleotide ribosomal RNA is filed under the name uncultured bacterium. RNAcentral describes it as "bacterial SSU rRNA". It matches the Rfam family "Bacterial small subunit ribosomal RNA", at positions 355 to 775 of the family's 1533-position model. The record is from RNAcentral.
UGGGGAAUUUUGCGCAAUGGGGGAAACCCUGACGCAGCAACGCCGCGUGAGCGAUGAAGGCCUUCGGGUCGUAAAGCUCUGUCAGAGGGGAAGAGGUGCAGGGGCGCCAAUAUCGCUUUUGCUUGACGGUACCCUCAAAGGAAGCACCGGCUAACUCCGUGCCAGCAGCCGCGGUAAUACGGAGGGUGCGAGCGUUGUUCGGAAUUAUUGGGCGUAAAGCGCGUGUAGGCGGUUUGGUAAGUCUGAUGUGAAAGCCCCGGGCUCAACCUGGGAAGUGCAUUGGAAACUGUCAGACUUGAAUACGGGAGAGGGUAGUGGAAUUCCUAGUGUAGGAGUGAAAUCCGUAGAUAUUAGGAGGAACACCGGUGGCGAAGGCGGCUACCUGGACCGAUAUUGACGCUGAGACGCGAAAGCGUGGGGAGCAAACAG